UCCGUAGGUGAACCUGCGGAAGGAUCAUUACCGAGUGAGGGUCUCUCAGGCCCGACCUCCCACCCUGUGUUUUUGUGACCUUGUUGCUUUGGCGGGCCCGCCUCGAUGAGAGGCCGCCGGAAGCUCACCGCUUUGGGCCCGUGCCCGCCAGUAGCCCCCUUAAAUUCUUAAUAAACCAGUCGUCUGAGUCCAUGGAUAUAAUGAAAAAAACUUUCAACAACGGAUCUCUUGGUUCUGGCAUCGAUGAAGAACGCAGCGAAAUGCGAUAAGUAAUGUGAAUUGCAGAAUUUAGUGAAUCAUCGAAUCUUUGAACGCAUAUUGCGCCCUUUGGUAUUCCGGAGGGCAUGCCUGUUCGAGCGUCAUUAACGACCGUCAAGCCUGGCUUGGUGUUUGGACGUCGGUCGUUGAGACCGCGUCUUAAAGACAAUGGCGGUGUCGAUUCAGUCCUCGGUGCAACGAGCUCCACGAGCACGCACCGCACGGGCUAUCGGCGCCCGCCUAGACCCCCUAUUUUCUCAGGUUGACCUCGGAUCAGGUAGGUAUACCCGCUGAACUUAAGCAUAUCAAUAAGCGGAGGAAAAGAAACCAACAGGGAUUGCCUCAGUAACGGCGAGUGAAGCGGCAACAGCUCAAAUUUGAAAUCUGGCCUCACGGUCCGAGUUGUAAUUUGUAGAGGAUGUUUCGGGUACCGCCACGGUUUAAAUUUCUUGGAACAGAAUGUCAUAGAGGGUGAGAAUCCCGUCUUGAACCGCCGGUAGGGCCCGUGUGAAACUCCUUCGACGAGUCGAGUUGUUUGGGAAUGCAGCUCAAAAUGGGUGGUAAAUUUCAUCUAAAGCUAAAUAUUGGCCAGAGACCGAUAGCGCACAAGUAGAGUGAUCGAAAGAUGAAAAGCACUUUGAAAAGAGAGUUAAACAGUAUGUGAAAUUGUUGAAAGGGAAACGCUUGAAGU
This 949-nucleotide small RNA is filed under the name uncultured fungus. RNAcentral describes it as "eukaryotic LSU rRNA". The stretch from base 522 to 949 matches the Rfam family "Eukaryotic large subunit ribosomal RNA", at positions 1 to 429 of the family's 3401-position model. Lineage: Eukaryota; Fungi. The record is from RNAcentral.